RNAcentral lists this ribosomal RNA (333 nucleotides) under uncultured bacterium. RNAcentral's name for it is "bacterial SSU rRNA". It matches the Rfam family "Bacterial small subunit ribosomal RNA", at positions 1 to 339 of the family's 1533-position model. The record is from RNAcentral.
GUCCCCAGUUUGAUCCUGGCUCAGAUUGAACGCUGGCGGCAUGCUUUACACAUGCAAGUCGAACGGCAGCACGGGGGCAACCCUGGUGGCGAGUGGCGAACGGGUGAGUAAUGCAUCGGAACGUAUCUUUAAGUGGGGGAUAACGCAUCGAAAGAUGCGCUAAUACCGCAUAAUCUCCGAGAAGAAAAGCAGGGGAUCGCAAGACCUUGCGCUUUUGGAGCGGCCGAUGUCUGAUUAGCUAGUUGGUGGGGUAAAGGCUUACCAAGGCUUCGAUCAGUAGCUGGUCUGAGAGGACGACCAGCCACACUGGGACUGAGACACGGCCCAGACUCC